UACAGAGGAGCCAAGCGUUGUCCGGAUUGACUGGGCGUAAAGCGCACGCAGGCGGCUGCGCGCGUGGGGUGUGAAAUCUCGCCGCUUAACGGCCAGGCGCCAUCCCAUACGGCGCGGCUUGAGCCUUGCAGAGGGCGGUGGAAUUGACGGUGUAGCGGUGAAAUGCAUAGAUAUCGUCAAGAACACCGAUAGCGAAGGCAGCUUACUGGGCUGUAACUGACGCUGAUGCACGAAAGUGUGGGGAUCAAACAGA
Molecule: ribosomal RNA, 253 nt
Filed under: uncultured bacterium
Lineage: Bacteria
Description: partial 16S ribosomal RNA
Rfam family: Bacterial small subunit ribosomal RNA
Source: RNAcentral